CAUUAUCACAAAAGAGCUUUUGCAUGUUCUUUCAACAUCAAUCAUUUUCUUCUAACAAGCCCAAAUCCACAUUAAUUAAUUUACGCCAAAACCACAGAAAAAAAGAAUAAUUUCACAGAAAAAUGAUUCAGUAAGCAUUUUGGGAGUUGUGUGAUAGAACAUCCAAAAGUUUCGUAGGCUGGUUUCUCAAACCUCGUACCGAAGUAUGGAGACGCUGCAAAUCUAAGUACUCUUUGAACCGGGUUUCUUGUGAACAGAACAAUAGAUGUCUUGCUCUAUGUUGAUCGUUUGGAUGUGUAUAGAGCCGAUGAGCAAGUUGUUAAAGCAAUCACCCAAAAUUUUGGAAAAGAGAUAUGGUGCAAAACCUUGCUUGUUCUGUCCCUUCCUAAUGAACUUUCCUACCAAACUGAUGGUUCUAAUUAAGAUGUGAAUACAAGAGUUUGAGGAUUCUGGAAUCGCGUUAGUCUAUGCAGAGAACAGCGGAAGAUGCCGCAAGAACGAUAAAGACGAAAAGGUUUGUGUUUUCGAAUCUCUGAUUUGAGUAGACUUGGAGAGAGACUGACUGUGUAAAUGUGGUAGGAUUAAAGAAGUUCGACUUAGCAUCCCGUCUUUUUCAAAAUGUUUAAAUGUUUAACUUAAGCUUUUUGAUGAUACAAAAUGUUUUUAUUUCUAAAAAUCUAAGUUUUAGAUUUAAGUACGUUGAAAACAAAUCGAACUUAGCAUCCCAUUCUUAAAAUUUUCUUUAACUAAAAGUCUUUAAUUAUUAAAAGUAUUUUUACUUCAAAGAAACAAACUGAACUUGAUGUAAAUUUAAACACUUAAUCUGAUGAUUAAUCUUCUAAUAAAUUACUUUUGAUUUUUGAAUUCAUUACGUGAGAUUGAGAGACGUAUAAACGCUAGGAGUAAGAGCUUUGAAGGUGUUUCAUGGGAAUGAAUCUAGGUGACUAGGUACACUAAUUCUAUAAAACAGAUAUAUAGAGAAAGUAGCUCUCUCUACACGUUUUCCGAUUCCUGCUAGAAAAGAAAACAAGAUUUAGAUAUUGAUGUACAUUGUCAUGAACCAUUUUUCAAAGGCUUGUCCAAUUUUGCCUGCCAAUCAGUCCUAGUGGGCAACAAGGCAUAGGAAGCAUAGGAGGUAUGUAUUAGCCUUAUUAUUCGCACACACAUUAAGGGUUUUGAAUCAGGGAACUUGUAUAAAUCAUAACUUAGUCUCA
Molecule: long non-coding RNA, 1214 nt
Organism: Arabidopsis lyrata subsp. lyrata
Lineage: Eukaryota; Viridiplantae; Streptophyta; Magnoliopsida; Brassicales; Brassicaceae
Exons: 3
Source: RefSeq, a predicted model, not a curated record